GAGAGUUUGAUCCUGGCUCAGAACGAACGCUGGCGGCGUGCUUAACACAUGCAAGUCGAACGUGAUUGAGAGCUUGCUCUCAUGAAAGUGGCGCACGGGUGAGUAACACGUGGAUAAUCUGCCUGGCGAUUCGGGAUAACACUUCGAAAGGGGUGCUAAUACCGGAUAAGCCCACGGUCUCUUCGGAGAGCGCGGGAAAAGGGGGCCUCUGUAUAUGCUCCUGUCGCUAGAUGAGUCCGCGGCCCAUUAGCUAGUUGGUAGGGUAAUGGCCUACCAAGGCUACGAUGGGUAGCUGGUCUGAGAGGAUGAUCAGCCACACUGGAACUGAGACACGGUCCAGACUCCUACGGGAGGCAGCAGUGGGGAAUUUUGCGCAAUGGGGGAAACCCUGACGCAGCAACGCCGCGUGAGUGAUGAAGGCCUUCGGGUCGUAAAGCUCUGUCAGAGGGGAAGAACCGCCGGGUGGCUAAUACCUGCCUGGUCUGACGGUACCCUCAAAGGAAGCACCGGCUAACUCCGUGCCAGCAGCCGCGGUAAUAC
RNAcentral lists this ribosomal RNA (540 nucleotides) under uncultured Geobacter sp. RNAcentral's name for it is "bacterial SSU rRNA". It matches the Rfam family "Bacterial small subunit ribosomal RNA", at positions 7 to 526 of the family's 1533-position model. The record is from RNAcentral. Lineage: Bacteria; Pseudomonadati; Thermodesulfobacteriota; Desulfuromonadia; Geobacterales; Geobacteraceae. RNAcentral also lists the same sequence under 1 other name.